UCUUUGGAUGAAAGCGGGGGAUCGCAAGACCUCGCGCUAUUGGGGUGGCCGAUGGCGGAUUAGCUAGUUGGUGGGGUAAAGGCUCACCAAGGCGACGAUCCGUAGCUGGUCUGAGAGGACGACCAGCCACACUGGGACUGAGACACGGCCCAGACUCCUACGGGAGGCAGCAGUGGGGAAUUUUGGACAAUGGGCGAAAGCCUGAUCCAGCAAUGCCGCGUGUGUGAAGAAGGCCUUCGGGUUGUAAAGCACUUUUGUCCGGAAAGAAAUCCUUUUCGAUAAUACCGAAGGGGGAUGACGGUACCGGAAGAAUAAGCACCGGCUAACUACGUGCCAGCAGCCGCGGUAAUACGUAGGGUGCGAGCGUUAAUCGGAAUUACUGGGCGUAAAGCGUGCGCAGGCGGUGAUGUAAGACCGAUGUGAAAUCCCCGGGCUUAACCUGGGAACUGCAUUGGUGACUGCAUCGCUGGAGUAUGGCAGAGGGGGGUAGAAUUCCACGUGUAGCAGUGAAAUGCGUAGAGAUGUGGAGGAAUACCGAUGGCGAAGGCAGCCCCCUGGGCCAAUACUGACGCUCA
Molecule: ribosomal RNA, 575 nt
Filed under: Paraburkholderia sp.
Lineage: Bacteria; Pseudomonadati; Pseudomonadota; Betaproteobacteria; Burkholderiales; Burkholderiaceae
Description: bacterial SSU rRNA
Rfam family: Bacterial small subunit ribosomal RNA
Source: RNAcentral